AUUGAACGCUGGCGGCAGGCCUAACACAUGCAAGUCGGACGGUAGCACAGAGAGCUUGCUCUCGGGUGACGAGUGGCGGACGGGUGAGUAAUGUCUGGGGAUCUGCCCGAUAGAGGGGGAUAACCACUGGAAACGGUGGCUAAUACCGCAUAACGUCGCAAGACCAAAGAGGGGGACCUUCGGGCCUCUCACUAUCGGAUGAACCCAGAUGGGAUUAGCUAGUAGGCGGGGUAACGGCCCACCUAGGCGACGAUCCCUAGCUGGUCUGAGAGGAUGACCAGCCACACUGGGACUGAGACACGGUCCAGACUCCUACGGGAGGCAGCAGUGGGGAAUAUUGCACAAUGGGCGCAAGCCUGAUGCAGCCAUGCCGCGUGAGUGAGGAAGGACUUCGGUCUGUAAAGCUCUGUUAAUGUGGAAAAAUGUUAGUUGGUCUAAUAGGCCGAUUAAUUGAUGGUACACAUAGAGGAAGCACCGGCUAACUUCGUGCCAGCAGCCGCAGUAA
Molecule: ribosomal RNA, 505 nt
Filed under: uncultured bacterium
Lineage: Bacteria
Description: partial 16S ribosomal RNA
Rfam family: Bacterial small subunit ribosomal RNA
Source: RNAcentral